GACGAACGCUGGCGGCGUGCUUAACACAUGCAAGUCGAACGGAAAGGCCCUGCUUUUGUGGGGUGCUCGAGUGGCGAACGGGUGAGUAACACGUGAGUAACCUGCCCCUGACUUUGGGAUAACUUCAGGAAACUGGGGCUAAUAUCGGAUAGGAGCUCCUGCUGCAUGGUGGGGGUUGGAAAGAUUCGGCGGUUGGGGAUGGACUCGCGGCUUAUCAGCUUGUUGGGGGGGUAGUGGCUUACCAAGGCUUUGACGGGUAGCCGGCCUGAGAGGGUGACCGGCCACAUUGGGACUGAGAUACGGCCCAGACUCCUACGGGAGGCAGCAGUGGGGAAUAUUGCACAAUGGGCGGAAGCCUGAUGCAGCAACGCCGCGUGCGGGAUGACGGCCUUCGGGUUGUAAACCGCUUUCGCCUGUGACGAAGCGUGAGUGACGGUAAUGGGUAAAGAAGCACCGGCUAACUACGUG
This 468-nucleotide ribosomal RNA is filed under the name uncultured bacterium. RNAcentral's name for it is "partial 16S ribosomal RNA". It matches the Rfam family "Bacterial small subunit ribosomal RNA", at positions 28 to 507 of the family's 1533-position model. The record is from RNAcentral.